GCAGCCUGCAACUCGGCUGCAUGAAGCUGGAAUCGCUAGUAAUCGCGGAUCAGAAUGCCGCGGUGAAUACGUUCCCGGGUCUUGUACACACCGCCCGUCACACCAUGGGAGUAGGUAAUGCCCGAAGUCGGUGACCUAACCGGAAGGAAGGAGCCGCCGAAGGCAGGACUUAUAACUGGGGUGAAGUCGUAACAAGGUACC
This 201-nucleotide ribosomal RNA is filed under the name uncultured bacterium. Its description in RNAcentral is "partial 16S ribosomal RNA". It matches the Rfam family "Bacterial small subunit ribosomal RNA", at positions 1300 to 1500 of the family's 1533-position model. The record is from RNAcentral.